This 550-nucleotide ribosomal RNA is filed under the name uncultured bacterium. RNAcentral describes it as "bacterial SSU rRNA". It matches the Rfam family "Bacterial small subunit ribosomal RNA", at positions 355 to 896 of the family's 1533-position model. The record is from RNAcentral.
UGGGGAAUCUUCCGCAAUGGACGAAAGUCUGACGGAGCAACGCCGCGUGAGUGAUGACGGCCUUCGGGUUGUAAAGCUCUGUUAAUCGGGACGAAAGGCCUUCUUGCGAAUAGUUAGAAGGAUUGACGGUACCGGAAUAGAAAGCCACGGCUAACUACGUGCCAGCAGCCGCGGUAAUACGUAGGUGGCAAGCGUUGUCCGGAAUUAUUGGGCGUAAAGCGCGCGCAGGCGGAUUGGUCAGUCUGUCUUAAAAGUUCGGGGCUUAACCCCGUGAUGGGAUGGAAACUGCCAAUCUAGAGUAUCGGAGAGGAAAGUGGAAUUCCUAGUGUAGCGGUGAAAUGCGUAGAUAUUAGGAAGAACACCAGUGGCGAAGGCGACUUUCUGGACGAAAACUGACGCUGAGGCGUGAAAGCCAGGGGAGCGAACGGGAUUAGAUACCCCGGUAGUCCUGGCCGUAAACGAUGGGUACUAGGUGUAGGAGGUAUCGACCCCUUCUGUGCCGGAGUUAACGCAAUAAGUACCCCGCCUGGGGAGUACGACCGCAAGGUUG